UUGAAACUGGUUCUCUUGAGUGUAGAUGAGGUGGGUGGAAUUUCGUGUGUAGCGGUGAAAUGCUUAGAUAUCACGAAGAACUCCAAUUGCGUAGGCAGCUCACUGGGCUACAACUGACGCUGAGGCACGAAGGUGCGGGGAUCAAACAGGAUUAGAUACCCUGGGUAGUCCGCACAGUAAACGAUGAAUACUAGCUGUUGGCGAUACACUGCCAGUGGCACAGCGAAAGCGUUAAGUAUUCCACCUGGGGAGUACGUUCGCAAGAAUGAAACUCAAAGGAAUUGACGGGGGCCCGCACAAGCGGAGGAACAUGUGGUUUAAUUCGAUGAUACGCGAGGAACCUUACCCGGGCUUGAAUUGCAUCUGAAUACAGCGGAAACGUUGUAGCUAGCAAUAGCAGAUGUGAAGGUGCUGCAUGGUUGUCGUCAGCUCGUGCCGUGAGGUGUCGGCUUAAGUGCCAUAACGAGCGCAA
RNAcentral lists this ribosomal RNA (472 nucleotides) under uncultured bacterium. RNAcentral describes it as "bacterial SSU rRNA". It matches the Rfam family "Bacterial small subunit ribosomal RNA", at positions 627 to 1101 of the family's 1533-position model. The record is from RNAcentral.